This is a long non-coding RNA of Neogale vison (American mink), 1257 nucleotides long. RefSeq lists it as uncharacterized. The record is from RefSeq and is a predicted model, not a curated record. NCBI's taxonomy places the organism in Eukaryota, Metazoa, Chordata, Mammalia, Carnivora, Mustelidae. The transcript has 3 exons.
CAGCAACUGAGGAAGGGCAGAGAAGGCCAGAAUGACCAGAGAACCUGCUGUAGAGAAAGGCUUUUGGGCUUUGAGCAUCUGCACCUUCAGAAGCUGCGCUGAAGCCUUCAUAGGCAGCCUCUGCCAUGUGAGGGAAGGCACUUCCACCAGGGGCUGGAAUUUAAACCCAGAACUUGAGUCUUGGAUGCUUUAGGCAGUGCCUUGAAAGUACUUCCUGGAGCGGUGUGGAUCUUCAGAGCAUGAGCACAUUGACCUGAGCAACAACUAGAUGAUUCCUAAUCCUUUUUGGGUGUCCAUUUGGUUAUUUACGUGGCCAAGAAAGUCUUAAAAGUCUGCUGAGGAAGCGCAGAUCCGUCAUGCGCAAAAUCUGUUUUGAGGAACUAGAUGGGUGUGCACGUGACCUGGUGUCUAAAGGCAGUUUAAGAAUGGGAACAGAACAAGUUGGGUAUCGAUGGAGGGGUUAUGCUGUCCAUCGUGUAAGUUCUCUUGUGCUCAUAUACCUAUAAGUUGGAAGUUGUACACAGAGUAUAUUCUGUUGAGGACUGUGAAUUAAUUCUGUUAAAUGGAAGUCUUGACCAUUCACUCCACGUAUUGAGCUUUAAUUUCAGUUCUAUGCAGUGAUUGACUGUUGUGUCAAAGAAGAAUUGUCAGUAAAGACACUGCAAGAAAACUGCAGUGUUAGAAAUCAGGAAUAGUGGAAAUCAUAAGGUAAACAAGGGAAAUUUUAAUUUUUCAUCAGGAUUAGAUCAUGCUCUCCUUUCCCUCCCUUUCUCAGUUUAGAAAAACUAUUUAAAUGAUCCUUUCGUUGAGAGAAGAAACUGCUAGAAGGGAUAUGUUAAAAGAAUCUUACUUAAAACUUCAUAUUAAGAGCAUUCGCAAUACAUUUAAAGAUGAAGUUGCUUUUGCGGGGAACAGGUAAUUAAAGGGGAUGUAGAAUGCCAGUAUCAUCAGCCUGUAUUGGAUCUUCAAAUCUGUCGAGUACUUGGUGGUUAGUCAGGGAGAAAAUAAACCUGAUGACUGCUUUCUGAGAAGAGAUGAGAUUUCCUAUGUACGAUAGAAGGUUUAUACACUGUUCAUUCUUUUCUAGAAGUAAAAGUUGUCGAAUAUCAUAAGUCUGCCAGAAUAUUCCAGGUUUCAAGAAAUAAAAAUUCAGCUUAAAAUGAACUUCAGUCAAAACCAAACAUUUCUGGGGCACCUGUGUGGCUCAGCGGAUUAAGCCUCUGCCUUUGGCUCAGGUCAUGAUCCCAGGGUCCUGGG